AUGAAUUGCAUAGUUUGGAACUGUCGAGGGGCGGGGAACCCUCGAACAGUUCGUGAUUUGCAGGCUCUAUGUAGAGCAAAUUCCCCAAGGAUGGUAUUCUUGUGUGAGACUAGGCAACAAAAAAAUGAAAUGAGUAGAUUUCGUAAUCGUUUAGGGCUCCGAGGUUUUGAAGGCAUUAGUAGUAAAGGAAAAAGUGGUGGUUUAGCACUGUAUUGGGAUGACUCGUUGUACCUUGAUGUU
This 240-nucleotide ribosomal RNA is filed under the name Triticum aestivum (bread wheat). RNAcentral's name for it is "partial small subunit ribosomal RNA". The record is from RNAcentral. Lineage: Eukaryota; Viridiplantae; Streptophyta; Magnoliopsida; Poales; Poaceae.